This 177-nucleotide small nuclear RNA is filed under the name Nomascus leucogenys (northern white-cheeked gibbon). RNAcentral's name for it is "U2 spliceosomal RNA". It matches the Rfam family "U2 spliceosomal RNA". From Rfam's summary of the family: U2 is a small nuclear RNA (snRNA) component of the spliceosome (involved in pre-mRNA splicing). Complementary binding between U2 snRNA (in an area lying towards the 5' end but 3' to hairpin I) and the branchpoint sequence (BPS) of the intron results the bulging out of an unpaired adenosine, on the BPS, which initiates a nucleophilic attack at the intronic 5' splice site, thus starting the first of two transesterification reactions that mediate splicing. Lineage: Eukaryota; Metazoa; Chordata; Mammalia; Primates; Hylobatidae. The record is from Rfam by way of RNAcentral.
UUUGCUUCUUGGCCUCUUGGCUAAGAUCAAGUGUAAAAAUAAGUAAAUGGUAGUUGAAUGAAAGAAACCAGGAAAAGUUAUUUUUGGAGUGCGUAGGGGGUGCCUCGCCUCCUUGGACCCAUCUCAUUUCUCCCAAGAGCAGACCCAGCUACACUAACUGGGAUCUGCCUCCCGCCU